RNAcentral lists this ribosomal RNA (648 nucleotides) under uncultured Actinomycetes bacterium. RNAcentral's name for it is "bacterial SSU rRNA". It matches the Rfam family "Bacterial small subunit ribosomal RNA", at positions 62 to 724 of the family's 1533-position model. The record is from RNAcentral. Lineage: Bacteria; Bacillati; Actinomycetota; Actinomycetes.
UCGAACGAUGAUGGGAGCUUGCUCCUGGAUUAGUGGCGAACGGGUGAGUAACACGUGAGUAACCUGCCCUUAACUCUGGAUAAGCCUGGGAAACUGGGUCUAAUACCGGAUAUGACUCCUCAUCGCAUGGUGGGGGGUGGAAAGCUUUAUUGUGGUUUUGGAUGGACUCGCGGCCUAUCAGCUUGUUGGUGAGGUAAUGGCUUACCAAGGCGACGACGGGUAGCCGGCCUGAGAGGGUGACCGGCCACACUGGGACUGAGACACGGCCCAGACUCCUACGGGAGGCAGCAGUGGGGAAUAUUGCACAAUGGGCGCAAGCCUGAUGCAGCGACGCCGCGUGAGGGAUGACGGCCUUCGGGUUGUAAACCUCUUUCAGUAGGGAAGAAGCGAAAGUGACGGUACCUGCAGAAGAAGCGCCGGCUAACUACGUGCCAGCAGCCGCGGUAAUACGUAGGGCGCAAGCGUUAUCCGGAAUUAUUGGGCGUAAAGAGCUCGUAGGCGGUUUGUCGCGUCUGCCGUGAAAGUCCGGGGCUCAACUCCGGAUCUGCGGUGGGUACGGGCAGACUAGAGUGAUGUAGGGGAGACUGGAAUUCCUGGUGUAGCGGUGAAAUGCGCAGAUAUCAGGAGGAACACCGAUGGCGAAGGCAG